RNAcentral lists this ribosomal RNA (421 nucleotides) under uncultured eukaryote. RNAcentral's name for it is "bacterial SSU rRNA". It matches the Rfam family "Eukaryotic small subunit ribosomal RNA", at positions 592 to 1018 of the family's 1831-position model. The record is from RNAcentral.
CAAUAGCGUAUAUUAAAGUUGUUGCAGUUAAAAAGCUCGUAGUUGGAUUUCUGGCAGGAGUGACCGGCCGCACACACUGUGUGCGAGUUGCGUCAUUCUGGCCAUCCUUGGUGAGAUCCUGUUUGGCAUUAAGUUGUCGGGCAGGGGAUAACCAUCGUUUACUGUGAAAAAUUAGAGUGUUUAAAGCAGGCUUAUGCCGUUGAAUAUAUUAGCAUGGAAUAAUGGAAUAGGACUACGGUCUCUUUGUUGGUUUGAGGGACUGCAGUAAUGAUUAAUAGGGAUAGUUGGGGGCAUUAGUAUUUAAUUGUCAGAGGUGGAAUUCUCGGAUUUGUUAAAGACUAACUUAUGCGAAAGCAUUUGCCAAGGAUGUUUUCAUUAAUCAAGAACGAAAGUUAGGGGAUCAAAGACGAUCAGAUACCGU